AACGAACGCUGGCGGCAUGCCUAACACAUGCAAGUCGAACGAGACCUUCGGGUCUAGUGGCUCACGGGUGCGUCACGCGGGGGAACCUGCCCUUAGGUUCGGAAUAACACCCCGAAAGGGGUGCUAAUACCGGAUAAUGUCUUCUGACCAAAGAUUUAUCGCCCUUGGAUGGGCCCGCGUUGGAUUAGCUAGUUGGUAGGGUAAAAGCCUACCAAGGCGACGAUCGAUAGCUGGUAUGAGAGAAUGAUCAGCCACACUGGGACUGAGACACGGCCCAGACUCCUACGGGAGGCAGCAGUGGGGAAUAUUGGACUAUGGGCGAAAGCCUGAUCCAGCACGGCCGCGUGAGUGAUGAUGGCCUUAGGGUUGUAAAGCUCUUUUACCCGGGAUGAUAAUGACAGUACCGGGAGAAUAAGCUCCGGCUAACUCCGUG
This 433-nucleotide ribosomal RNA is filed under the name uncultured bacterium. RNAcentral describes it as "partial 16S ribosomal RNA". It matches the Rfam family "Bacterial small subunit ribosomal RNA", at positions 29 to 507 of the family's 1533-position model. The record is from RNAcentral.